AGUUGUUUGGUUUUUGUUGACAAGAGCAUCACCGCACUUUCUCAUUAAAAUCUCCACCCUUACGGCAUGUUCACAAGCAACUACACAGUUCCCCGGAUUGGUCUGGAAAUGAUCGUUUUACUCUGUCAUCGCUCUCGCCCACGUUUAGACCAAAAACACGCCGCAGCUGUCCCUGCGUACCUCUGUAACAAGCCCCACGAGGCGGCACCUCAGGCCACCUCAGAGACCGCUCACAUCAGUUCAGGCAGAGGUCCAAGUCAACAGGCCCGACCCAAUAAAGCUCACAGGGCUCCCCGCUGCCUGGGAGCAGCCUCUCAGCUCGCCUCAUAAUUAUUCUUUGGGCCCUGUUAAGAAGCCAGAGACUCUCUCCUUGCCCCAUUACUCACACAGAGAGCCAAAGAUGCUGCAUAGAGGCUCCCCAGGCUGCACUAUCACAAAGCCACAGCGGUGUAGACAUGCCACUUUGCUGCCUGGGAUUUCAUUCAUUACCACAGACCGGGAGAGCAGCUUUAUUACCUGCACGUUUGCAAUGGUUGGUUCAGAAAGAGAAGAAGUGACAAAGCAGCAAAUUACAGCUUUUAAAUCGAGAACGGUCCGAAAAGGAGAAAAUAUCCAGUGAGCUGCAGUUCUCGGAAACGCCUUGUUAAUCACAAGAAGCGUCACAACUGGUUCCUGAAGACGACAGCGAACUGUCUGUACUCAAACGGGCUCCACAGUGUCCAGAUGUCAAUCCAAUAGACCACCUUUGGGAUGUGGUGGAACUGGAGAUUGACAUCGUGGAUGUGCAACAACUGUGUGAUGAUGUCAUUUCAAUAUGGACAAAAAUCACUGAGGAAUGUUUCUAGUACUUUGUUGGAUUUAUGCCACAAAGAAUUCAGGAAGUUCUGGUGCUCUGCUUUGAAUGUAAUUUUAAUUAGUCCAAAUGUUUCCCAGCUGCCAUGUACGCUUUACUUAUGUUUCAAAGUGGCUCAAAAAUCUUCAGCUGUCACAACUGGAUAGAAAAUGUUUUGACAGUUUUGAGAUGUGUCUGUUUCAGAUGACCGAGGACUGCCACACUAGAAAAACAGUGGUGAAGAGUGGUGCCGUUUCCUUAUCAAAAAUCCUGAUGAUUAAACAUACUUGGAGGGCAUAUCUGGAGAGAAUAUAUGCAGGUCACAGGUUAAGUAAGAGAAAUGAUUUCUUUAAUUGUUCUAUGAUUGGAAAAAUUACAGAAAGAAGUGCAAAGAACAUAAAACAUUCACAACAGGAAGCGAAACCCCAGAAAACAAGCAGGUCACUUGUAGAUGGGUUUGAGGCUGGAUUUUAUUUAGUCCACUUUUAAAAUGUACAUUUCUCUUGAGAUUCAUUAAAAAAGAUAAAGCAUCAUCAGCUUUGCAGUCCAUUUCACAAAGAGACUGCAAUAAAGGAAAGAGUGAAGUAGAAGGAAGAUGACUUAGUAGGCACAUCUUUCAAACGAUACAUGUUAAAUCUAAUUGAUGGCAAAAUAUGUACAGCUAUGAGUUGUUUCUUUGUUUUUUUAAAAUCACGUGGCAGCACAUGCUUGGGAUUUCUGCGCGAGAGCCGACAGUCAAGUCAAGUAAAGCAGGGAUGUAUGCCGGCGAAGACUUUCUGUCUCUAAAAUAUGCAUCAAGUUGACUGCACGAGGCAGUCAAUUUCCCAAAACUGUAUGCCAGUUCAAUUUAAAAUAAAUUAAACCUAAGUGGAGAGAGAAAUGAGGAAGAGAAA
Long non-coding RNA from Oreochromis niloticus (Nile tilapia), 1725 nucleotides. RefSeq lists it as uncharacterized. The record is from RefSeq and is a predicted model, not a curated record. The transcript is spliced from 3 exons. NCBI's taxonomy places the organism in Eukaryota, Metazoa, Chordata, Actinopteri, Cichliformes, Cichlidae.